CAAAAGCUCAAAUUUGAAAUCUGGUACCUUCGGUGCCCGAGUUGUAAUUUGGAGAGGGCAACUUUGGGGCCGUUCCUUGUCUAUGUUCCUUGGAACAGGACGUCAUAGAGGGUGAGAAUCCCGUGUGGCGAGGAGUGCGGUUCUUUGUAAAGUGCCUUCGAAGAGUCGAGUUGUUUGGGAAUGCAGCUCUAAGUGGGUGGUAAAUUCCAUCUAAAGCUAAAUAUUGGCGAGAGACCGAUAGCGAACAAGUACAGUGAUGGAAAGAUGAAAAGAACUUUGAAAAGAGAGUGAAAAAGUACGUGAAAUUGUUGAAAGGGAAGGGCAUUUGAUCAGACAUGGUGUUUUGUGCCCUCUGCUCCUUGUGGGUAGGGGAAUCUCGCAUUUCACUGGGCCAGCAUCAGUUUUGGUGGCAGGAUAAAUCCAUAGGAAUGUAGCUUGCCUCGGUAAGUAUUAUAGCCUGUGGGAAUACUGCCAGCUGGGACUGAGGACUGCGACGUAAGUCAAGGAUGCUGGCAUAAUGGUUAUAUGCCGC
Molecule: ribosomal RNA, 532 nt
Filed under: Saccharomyces cerevisiae (brewer's yeast)
Lineage: Eukaryota; Fungi; Ascomycota; Saccharomycetes; Saccharomycetales; Saccharomycetaceae
Description: partial large subunit ribosomal RNA
Rfam family: Eukaryotic large subunit ribosomal RNA
Source: RNAcentral